AUGAAGUCUGCAAGGCAUGGGAUCUCUAAGGUCUACUUCAGCUUAGACAACUAUAUUGUAUUGAACCAGUCAAUUUGUAACAAAGUGGCUUGUAUACCUGCUGUCCACCACCUGUCCUUUCAUGAUCAACUUCCAUCAGAGGCCCAUCAAAUGGUUCCAUCAAAAUUCCAUCAAAUGGUUUCAUCAACUUCCACCAAAGACCCAUCAAAUGCUUCCAUUGAAGUCAAUCAAAGGUCCAUCAAAUGCUUCCAUCAACUUCUAUCAAAGGUCUAUCAAAUUCUUCCAUCGAAGUUAUUCAAAGAUCCAUUAAAUGCUUCCAUCAAAGGUCUAUCAAAUGCUUCCAUCAAAGUCAAUCAAAGGUCCAUCAAAUGCUUCCAUCAAAGUCAAUCAAAGGUCCAUCAAAUGCUUCCAUCAACUUCUAUCAAAGGUCUAUCAAAUUCUUCCAUCGAAGUCUUUCAAAGGUCCAUUAAAUGCUUCCAUCAAAGUCAAUCAAAGGUCCAUCAAACGCUUCCAUCAACUUCCAUCAAAGGUCUAUCAAAAUGCUUCUAUUUUAGUCAUUCAAAGGUCCGUCAAAUGCUUCCAUCAUCUCAGGGUUCAAGAAAAGGACAACUUUCAGAAGAGGACUGUCCUCUGGAAAUAUACCAGACAGGGAACUAUAAAGUAGGACAUAAAAUUGAACCCCCUCCUGUGUCCUUUGGGAGGACUCGUAGUGGCCGGGGCUGAGGAAGCCCAAGGAGAUCACAGCCACUGCUUUAUUAUUGUGCAAGGCUGCCAUGACGCUGUUGCAAACAGCUUCGUAAAUGAAGCACACAAAGACAAAAACUGGGACGGGGGCUAUCCAGGCAGAGGGAGAGCGUAUUAUUUUGGAUGCAAAGCAGAGGCUUAUCUGUCUUACUGUUGCAGCACCAGAGAAAAUCAAUUUUGACACGGAACUGCCACUUUACAAGCAAAUAACUAUACUUUCCAAUAACCUAAUCUGUGCAGAGCCUACUGAAAAUUCCCUGAAGAACUAGUAGUUAAAACCUCCAUUAAAUCAAAGGCUUUAACAUGGGAAGGGAAAAUAAGAUGCCGUUUGACUUGGGAAUGUAAUGGACUCAGUGGGGAAAUAAAUAUGUUGUUUUAUGUGUACAGUUAGAGAAUUGGAGAAUGCCGCUUUCAUUUCAAAGGGAAUUCUCUCAGUACAGAACCCUCUCCUAAACAGAUGUGAUCUUUGCUUAUUCAAAAACAUUUACGUAACAAUUACUGCAUAAUAAAUUAUAAUUGCCAUUCUUGUUUCUUUUUCCCCCUUGCCUUCCUUCCUUCCUCUCUUUUUCCCUCAGUAGCUCAGUGACUUUGCAAACAAAUGGGAAGGAAAUGGCAACAAUCUAUAUAUAUAAAAGGAUAAUGAAAUUUCGGCCUAGGACAAAACAACAAAACUACACAUCCCAGAAACACUAAACUUAGCAGCACAACCCGUCAUCCAUGCCUCUACGUUCAUACAACAAAAAGAAAAGAAAAAUAAAGUCCUAAUUAGAGGGAGAGGAAUAAUUGUUUUUAUCCAAUUGCUGCCAGUUAGAAGGCUAAGUUCCGCCCACUUGGUCUCCUAGCAACCCACUCAGCCCAGGGGACAAGCAGAGUUAGGCCUCACUUAGGCCUCUUCCACACUGCUUAUAAAUUACAGAUUAUCUGAUUUUAACUGGAUUAUAUGGCAGUGUAGACUCAAGGCCCUUCCACACAGCUAUAUAACCCAUUUAUAAUGGACUUAAUGUAAGGUAAAACCUGUACCCUUUACCUUAACUACCACCAAUUCCUCAAUACUUUUAUUUCCCAUACCACCAUACUUCGCCACAGCAACGCGUGGCUGGGCACAGCUAGUCAAAACUUUUUUCCGAGGGAGCAUUAAGAGAUGCAUUUUAAGGAUGCAGUUCUGGUUCCAUGUUAAAAAUAUGUAAACAUUUUAUCUCAUUACUAUAAUUAGCAAGUGUCAGCAUGGUGUUGUAGUUUGAGCACUGGACUACAACUAUGUCAACCUAUGUUCAAAUCCCUGCUCAGCCAUCUCUGCCCUUCUGUGAUCGUCCAUCAAAGGUCUAUCAGAUGCUUCCAUCAAAGGUGACACUCUCUCAGUUUCAGAUGAAGGCAAUGGCAAUGUCCCUCUGAACAAAUUACACUGAUUAUAGAGUUCCCAUAUGUCGGAAGGCUCAUGAAGGCACAAAACAACAACUGUAAUAAGAAAUUAGGAAUGCGAGAAGCGGUAGAUACUUAGACAACAUCACCAUUAGAGUUGUGCAUUCAGAGUAAACCUUGACCCAUUUCGUGUCCCGACUGUCGGGUUCUCUUCUCCCAGCUGUGGUGUGGGUCAGUCUUCCACCAAAAAAGGCACCAAGACACGCUGGUAGAUUCCAACAGAUUUUUAUUGUACCGAAUACCAGAACCUUCCCUUUGGCCCACUUAUAUAGGGGCUCUCACAUACCAGAGGGUAAUUGAAGUUUUAUGGCUGGUCCGUUUUAUGGCUGGCAUCUGUUCUUUGUCAGCCAACCGGAGAUGUCAAAGAUUGGAGAUCAUGACACCGACUUUUUGUGGUAGCCCCAAUCCAUUUUUGGAAGCCUCCCAAAAUCUGGAGGGCAGAUAUCUGUUUUCAGUGUGGGUCCCGAAAUAUCUGUUUUCUAUCGGACCAUUAUGCGGGACAUGCUUUAAGGAGGCUUCUUACCUGCUGUUUUUACUUGCCUCCUUGCCUUGGAAAAAGAGUGUGUGGUGUGACAUGGCGUACAGUGCCUGCAGCCGAGCGCCUCGUACUCUAGAGCAGUGGUUCUCAACCUUGGGAUCC
Anolis carolinensis (green anole) is the source of this 2803-nucleotide long non-coding RNA. NCBI's taxonomy places the organism in Eukaryota, Metazoa, Chordata, Lepidosauria, Squamata, Anolidae. The record is from Ensembl.